Molecule: ribosomal RNA, 329 nt
Filed under: Acipenser medirostris (green sturgeon)
Lineage: Eukaryota; Metazoa; Chordata; Actinopteri; Acipenseriformes; Acipenseridae
Description: partial 16S ribosomal RNA
Rfam family: Bacterial large subunit ribosomal RNA
Source: RNAcentral
AAACACAAGAUCAACUAUGCUAUCAAGCCAACCACCCACGGAAAUAACAGCUAAAAGCAUAAUAGUACCCUGAUCCUAAUGUUUUCGGUUGGGGCGACCACGGAGGACAAAAAAGCCUCCAUGUCGACGGGGGCACUGCCCCUAAAACCUAGGGCGACAGCCCAAAGCAACAGAACAUCUGACGAACAAUGACCCAGGCUAAAGCCUGAUCAACGAACCAAGUUACCCUAGGGAUAACAGCGCAAUCCUUUCUAAGAGUCCAUAUCGACGAAAGGGUUUACGACCUCGAUGUUGGAUCAGGACAUCCUAAUGGUGCAGCCGCUAUUAAG